CCAGCCCAACCCUCAUCUGUUUGUGCAGCCCCAAGCCACAGGUCUUUUUUACGAUACUGCAUUGCAUCUUCUUCCAGAAGGAGAGAAAACCGGGACAAUUCAUAUUGCCUACAGAGAGUUUGUGACAUUACAGCUUGAAACAGAAUCUCCAACCUUCAACCAACUUGAGCUAGAAGUACCCCUAAAUUGCUGGAUGUGUCACAGUAUUUUGUUUCAUGGCCACCGUAAGAAACCUACUGUAUAUUUUAUCAAUACAUGAUUUUUAUUUAAGGACUUGGUUCAUUCAGGUACACAUUUAUUACCCCCUAUGAAUUCUGAAAGACACAGUAUUACAUGUUGCAGAUUGGAAAAUACAGUUCGACUUGAGGGUUCAGAGCUAUGGAGGUAAAAUGUAGCAUAAUCAGUAUAGAAAUCAGGCAGCAUCACACACUUGUCAACUACC
Molecule: long non-coding RNA, 442 nt
Filed under: Pan troglodytes (chimpanzee)
Lineage: Eukaryota; Metazoa; Chordata; Mammalia; Primates; Hominidae
Description: long non-coding RNA NONPTRT017216
Source: RNAcentral